UCGGUUCUUCCGAGUGAAGACACUGAAAAAUAGCAUCGAUCAUUAGCCAGAACUUUAUUCAUUUGUGAAAUUUUAUUUUUCUCCUAAAAUUGAGGCGAAAAUGUCGGAAAAAAAGACAAAACAAAGUAAUGGCUGAGGAUAAUUGGUGAAUUUAAUGACUUUUUUCGUCAUUUCUGAGACAGAAAAAUUGAACAAAACAAUGUGAGCGAUACGCCGCAAACCACGUGGACAACGUUUGCAAUGUCGCAUACAUAAGAUUCAUACCGCAUCAAUGGCAUUCUGAAGUGACAAAUUGAUGAGCACAUCGGGCUGCGUGUCGAGAUGCCGUGCCAGAAGAAAGGAAACCAAGAGAGAAACUCGGCGAGUACCUGCUGAAAAACGAAUGGCGACGGAGAAAUACCAGCCCGCUUUGCUUAUUCUAAUCAUUGAAUGAACCGAGUCGAAUGUUGAAACGAAAAGAAUUUUUUUUUCUAAUUUCGAACAAUUGUCCAACUAUUGGAUUAUCAAUGUCAAUGAGUUCAAAAGGAUUUUAUUAGAAAUAAAUGCAAUUUUAUAAUUAAA
Molecule: long non-coding RNA, 561 nt
Organism: Sitodiplosis mosellana (orange wheat blossom midge)
Lineage: Eukaryota; Metazoa; Arthropoda; Insecta; Diptera; Cecidomyiidae
Exons: 3
Source: RefSeq, a predicted model, not a curated record